UCACCAGUGAGCAAGGGUGGGUGGGAAAAGAAAUAAGAUUGUGAGAAGGAAGCCAUAUUGAAUUGUGAGGAAUCUGUGACGUCGGAGGAUGCAUGCCGUAACAGUUGGCAUAGUCGCACGAACGCUCCACCCCUCGCUCGGCCAGAGACGGCUUGUGACGGACCAUCGGACCCCAGGAACAUCUGCGGAGUCUGGACAUUGCUUCAUAGCUAAGGCGAGUCCUUUGCCCCUGAUUUCCCGGGGACAACGACUUGCCCUUGCACACUAGUACUGAUCCAGAUUUCAUACUGGUUAGUUUGGAUUUGUAUUUUUGUUACUGAAGAAUACUGAUAAGGAAAAAAAUGUAGAAAUGGAAGCUUGUCAAAACAGCAAAUAAAAAAUGUACUAAAAUA
Long non-coding RNA from Pomacea canaliculata, 392 nucleotides. RefSeq lists it as uncharacterized. The record is from RefSeq and is a predicted model, not a curated record. The transcript is spliced from 3 exons. Lineage: Eukaryota; Metazoa; Mollusca; Gastropoda; Architaenioglossa; Ampullariidae.